UGUUCUGGCCCAGAAUGGUAAUUCCUAUGAAUAUCCUUUUUGCUCUGAUACCAGAAACACUAUGCUUGUCUGGUCAGUUUCACAUUCCUUUCCCAGCAGUGACAGUUGUUAACUUUCAAAAAUAUAAGUGAAACUUCAUGGCAUGAGCAGGUGUAAUCAGAUUCUCCUGCUCUGGAGCACAGGAAAGUCAAAGUUCUCCUGCAAUUUUGUGUCGUACUUAAAGUCAUAACUGCAAACCAUUUCAAGUACUUUUUUUAGUCAUAACGAAGUGACUGCAGACUCUGCAGAAAAGGCCAAUCUAUUAAGCAGAGGGUAACACCUUAGAACCCAAUAGGUUUUCAUUGCUUGUUCACAGAAUUAAAUAAAAUAAAGCGCAUAUCUACACAAUUCCAGAAAGUUAAAAUUGUGACAUUCUACAACAAAUCCUAAUACUCAUUUAUAUCCUGAUGUCUUAUGAAAUGUUAGCAUUAAGAAUGAAAAAUCAUUUACCAUAAACAGUCAAAUAAAACAGUGUGUUUAUUGCUUCCUUCUUGAUGCCUUGAAAUACACCAAGUUUCUGAAACAGGAGAGGAGACUGCAGUAUUGAAAUUCCAUGUAAACUUAAUGUUAUUCCAGGGGAAAUAAAAUAAAUUGAAGUGACCUGUAAAGUUUCCUCAAACCAUUUUCUGCCUUUUCCUAGUUCAGGUAAGCUAUUUCGGGUCCUCUAGCUUGUGCCUUGGAGGGGCUCUUAGUUUAAAGAGAUUAAUGAUUAAGUCUGUACUGAUAAAUCAUUUACGCAGGGAGUGUGGGCUACUCCAGAACGUGAAGGACUGAAAUGUUUUCAUCUGAUGACAAUACUUGAGGCAUCAUUGUCGACAUAGGAACAGAUUCAGACUUGGAGCUUGUCUACGUGCACAUGGCACUGGUAUAACUAAAGGCGCAAUGCUGCACUAACAGGUGAAACAUGGAGUCCAAAGUUGAGUUUUUCACAGGUCUGCAGAUGCCGUGACGGAAACAAAGAGGCAGCUCCAUUUCAGAAGCUAGAUCUCUGUGGACUACCAGUAAGCAUUGCCCAGACAAGUUUGAGAAACUGUAGACUAGAAUGUGUGGUGCACCAACAACUUCUUCACCUACUUCAGCACUAGUGCAUUGCUUAAGAGAGGUUUCAGAUCUCUAUUACUUACAACGUAAGUAAGCUGAGGGGAAGUAAGUUGCCAUUUUUAUUCACUGUGAUGCUAGCACUGUUUACUUCAAGUCCUUUUAUUUUUCAAUUUAGACUGCAGCACCAGCAUGAGAUUAAAAGUCUCAGAAACCAAUUUCUUAUUCAAUGGCUGCAGAAACUGAGAAUUGAUUUUAUCCAGCAGACUCAACCAGCCAAAGAGAGUAGCAAAUCCCAGCUCUGACACACACACAUUCACACUCUGUUCAUUGUAGUUACCAAUAAUGGGAUGUUGGGAAUGGAUGUGGGGGUGGAAGGAAAAGUUGGUUAUGUCUGAUGUUUUAUUGAUUAAACUCAGCUCCCUCCCAGUCUGACCCUCUGAACAAAUGAGAUGCAGACACUGCCCUGGGCUGGGCCAUGGGGAGGGAGAGGGCCUAGUGCCAAGGCACAUCCCAGCCUCCCCCCACAACAAGGGAAGCAAUAGGAGAGCCCUGGCCAGCGACCAGGGAAGAGGACUCCAGAGGAGGAGAAACUUGUGUUGUGGGGGCAAGCUGAGAAUCCCCCAGAACGGAGACCAAAAGCAAGUGAGGAAAAGAAAGAGCAGGGAGAGAUGGGGGUGCCAGAGUGGGGGAGCAGGAACAGAAGGCAAGAUAAGGAGACGACACAGGGAGGACAGCAAGGCAGGGGCAGAUAGGGUUGGGGCAGCAGAGUAAGGUGGAGGCAGAGCACAGCAGGGAAAGGACAAGAGAAGGGGUUGGGGCAGCAGAACAAGGGGGACCGGGGGAGAAGGAACCAAGAAUGGGGAUUGGGGAAAGCAGGAGACACGAGGGGUGGUUGAGGGAGCAGAGCAAAGGGGGGGUAGAGCACACCAGGGAGGGAACAAGA
This is a long non-coding RNA of Malaclemys terrapin pileata, 2023 nucleotides long. RefSeq lists it as uncharacterized. The record is from RefSeq and is a predicted model, not a curated record. The transcript has 3 exons. Lineage: Eukaryota; Metazoa; Chordata; Testudines; Emydidae.